GGAGGACAGAGCAGAGUCUUCAGUAUCCAGCUGUCUGUCUAUGAAGAGUGAUGACUCCAAAGAUCUUCCUAUAGCCUUCAGUGAUGAACCUGGACCCUCAGACACAAAAGAGAGGAAGAGGAGUCGUCCUGUGGAGGAAAGAUCCAGAACAAGACCUGGACUGCAGACAGUCAGUCAGACCAGCACUGUCAAAUGAGUGCUGGUCUGCAGGAGUUUUAGAUAAAUAUAAGUUCAUUCAGAAAUGAGAUGUGAACAUGUGACUGAAGGAAGUGAUGAAACAGGAAGUGGAACCCUCCUCCACAGGAUCUACACUGAGCUCUACAUCACAGAGGGAAGAGUGAGAGGUUAACACCCAACAUGAGGUGAGGCAGCUUGAGACAGUUUCCAAGAUGGGACCCUCCAUGA
Larimichthys crocea (large yellow croaker) is the source of this 405-nucleotide long non-coding RNA. RefSeq lists it as uncharacterized. The record is from RefSeq and is a predicted model, not a curated record. NCBI's taxonomy places the organism in Eukaryota, Metazoa, Chordata, Actinopteri, Sciaenidae. The transcript is spliced from 3 exons.